RNAcentral lists this ribosomal RNA (775 nucleotides) under Pediococcus pentosaceus. RNAcentral's name for it is "bacterial SSU rRNA". It matches the Rfam family "Bacterial small subunit ribosomal RNA", at positions 59 to 799 of the family's 1533-position model. Lineage: Bacteria; Bacillati; Bacillota; Bacilli; Lactobacillales; Lactobacillaceae. The record is from RNAcentral.
AACUUCCGUUAAUUGAUUAUGACGUACUUGUACUGAUUGAGAUUUUAACACGAAGUGAGUGGCGAACGGGUGAGUAACACGUGGGUAACCUGCCCAGAAGUAGGGGAUAACACCUGGAAACAGAUGCUAAUACCGUAUAACAGAGAAAACCGCAUGGUUUUCUUUUAAAAGAUGGCUCUGCUAUCACUUCUGGAUGGACCCGCGGCGUAUUAGCUAGUUGGUGAGGUAAAGGCUCACCAAGGCAGUGAUACGUAGCCGACCUGAGAGGGUAAUCGGCCACAUUGGGACUGAGACACGGCCCAGACUCCUACGGGAGGCAGCAGUAGGGAAUCUUCCACAAUGGACGCAAGUCUGAUGGAGCAACGCCGCGUGAGUGAAGAAGGGUUUCGGCUCGUAAAGCUCUGUUGUUAAAGAAGAACGUGGGUAAGAGUAACUGUUUACCCAGUGACGGUAUUUAACCAGAAAGCCACGGCUAACUACGUGCCAGCAGCCGCGGUAAUACGUAGGUGGCAAGCGUUAUCCGGAUUUAUUGGGCGUAAAGCGAGCGCAGGCGGUCUUUUAAGUCUAAUGUGAAAGCCUUCGGCUCAACCGAAGAAGUGCAUUGGAAACUGGGAGACUUGAGUGCAGAAGAGGACAGUGGAACUCCAUGUGUAGCGGUGAAAUGCGUAGAUAUAUGGAAGAACACCAGUGGCGAAGGCGGCUGUCUGGUCUGCAACUGACGCUGAGGCUCGAAAGCAUGGGUAGCGAACAGGAUUAGAUACCCUGGUAGUCCAUG